Molecule: ribosomal RNA, 541 nt
Filed under: uncultured eukaryote
Lineage: Eukaryota
Description: SSU rRNA
Rfam family: Eukaryotic small subunit ribosomal RNA
Source: RNAcentral
UGUAUUUAUUAGAUUAAAAACCAAUGCCCUUCGGGGCUCCUUGGUGAUUCAUAAUAACUUAACGAAUCGCAUGGCCUUGUGCCGGCGAUGGUUCAUUCAAAUUUCUGCCCUAUCAACUUUCGAUGGUAGUAUAUGGGACUACCAUGGUUUCAACGGGUAACGGGGAAUUAGGGUUCUAUUCCGGAGAGGGAGCCUGAGAAACGGCUACCACAUCCAAGGAAGGCAGCAGGCGCGCAAAUUACCCAAUCCCGACACGGGGAGGUAGUGACAAUAAAUACUGAUACAGGGCUCUUUUGGGUCUUGUAAUUGGAAUGAGUACAAUUUAAAUCCCUUAACGAGGAACAAUUGGAGGGCAAGUCUGGUGCCAGCAGCCGCGGCAAUACCAGCUCCAAUAGCGUAUAUUAAAGUUGUUGCAGUUAAAAAGCUCGUAGUUGAACCUUGGGCCUGGCUGGCCGGUCCGCCUCACCGCGUGCACUGGUCCGGCCGGGUCUUUCCUCCUGGGGAGCCGCAUGCCCUUCACUGGGUGUGUCGGGGAACCAGG